UACGGGGGGAGCAAGCGUUGUUCAGAUUUACUGGGCGUAAAGGGCGCGUAGGCGGCGCAACAAGUCACUUGUGAAAUCUCCGGGCUUAACCCGGAGCGGCCAAGUGAUACUGUCGUGCUAGAGUGCGGAAGGGGCUACUGGAAUUCUCGGUGUAGCGGUGAAAUGCGUAGAUAUCGAGAGGAACACCUGCGGCGAAGGCGGGUAGCUGGGCCGACACUGACGCUGAGGAGCGAAAGCGUGGGGAGCGAACAGG
RNAcentral lists this ribosomal RNA (253 nucleotides) under uncultured bacterium. Its description in RNAcentral is "partial 16S ribosomal RNA". It matches the Rfam family "Bacterial small subunit ribosomal RNA", at positions 524 to 776 of the family's 1533-position model. The record is from RNAcentral.